Molecule: long non-coding RNA, 332 nt
Organism: Ostrinia nubilalis (European corn borer)
Lineage: Eukaryota; Metazoa; Arthropoda; Insecta; Lepidoptera; Crambidae
Exons: 2
Source: RefSeq, a predicted model, not a curated record
AUUGUGUGUGGUUGAGCAGUGCUCGGUGGCGAGCCUCUGCGCUGUUGCUGUCUGUUGUUGAUGUUGCUGACGUUGCCUCCAUAGCAGGAGGUGUAUGGUACCGGCUGCUCUGUUGGCACCGGCUAUCAGGUGUUUGGCACCGGCGGUCCCGCAGUGCCGGACGCUUGCUGCGCCCGACGGGUGCGAAGGGGGUUGAGCCGAGUGGUGAUAUUAGCGCGCUGAUCUUAGUCUAGUAUUUUUAGUCUGUACCAACCAAACGGCCCAACGACCCAUCCCUUAAUUUUUCUUUUUAAAUAUUUGUGUCAAUCACAAUAAAUUGUUGUCAAUUUAAA